This 478-nucleotide ribosomal RNA is filed under the name uncultured bacterium. Its description in RNAcentral is "partial 16S ribosomal RNA". It matches the Rfam family "Bacterial small subunit ribosomal RNA", at positions 28 to 523 of the family's 1533-position model. The record is from RNAcentral.
AACGAACGCUGGCGGCGUGCUUAACACAUGCAAGUCGAACGGUAAGGCCCUUCGGGGUACACGAGUGGCGAACGGGUGAGUAACACGUGGGUGAUCUGCCCUGCACUUCGGGAUAAGCCUGGGAAACUGGGUCUAAUACCGGAUAGGACCACUGCCUGCAUGGGUGGUGGUGGAAAGCUUUUGCGGUGUGGGAUGGGCCCGCGGCCUAUCAGCUUGUUGGUGGGGUGAUGGCCUACCAAGGCGACAACGGGUAGCCGGCCUGAGAGGGUGACCGGCCACACUGGGACUGAGAUACGGCCCAGACUCCGACGGGAGGCAGCAGUGGGGAUUAUUGCACAAUGGGCGCAAGCCUGAUGCAGCGACGCCGGGUGAGGGAUGACGGCCUUCGGGUUGUAAACCUCUUUCAGCACCGACGAAGCGCAAGUGACGGUAGGUGCAGAAGAAGGACCGGCCAACUACGUGCCAGCCGCCGCGGUAA